ACUUAAGUGAAAAAUAAUAAUCGUGUAAAACUUUUGUUUUAAAUUAUUUUUCGCUGAAAAUUGACAAGCAGUUUUAAAAUUUAAAAUACAUGUGAUAACAUUUAAAAAGAUGUCAAAUUUACAUAGAAAAAAUUCUCAAUCCUCGCAAUAUAUAUAUAAAGAUAGACUACAAUGCUUUUGAAAGUUCGAACGCAUUCAUACUUGUAAGUUAUUUUCGAUAGUGAGACAGUCGAGUUGGCGAUCAGUUCCGUGAGAAAUAAUCUACAGUGUUAGGACUUAUCUAGAAAACAGGUUUUAUAAUUUUUGACUUUGUUUGUCUAGUAAACAAGUAACCUCAAAAUAAACAGUUGAAAAUAAAAGUUCUAUAAGACAAUGAUAAAAGACUUAAAUUUCAAAUCGAAGGUAUUGAUUUUACUCUUAAUAUUGCGUAAAUUUUUUUAUUAAAAUUUUAUCUAAUUUAGAUUGUUCUGCACCAUUGAAGUUACAAAGGUGCCAUAUUGGCCAUUAAAAUAGUCAUCUUUGAGACCCUUUGAUUACUUAGUAAAUGAUGUCGAAAAAAUUAUAAAAUUGGUUUCCAAAUAGUUCUAAUAGUGCAUAUCAUGUCAAAUAGAACCGAUUGUGGAAUCGGAUGUCCUAGCAUUGAAAAUAAAUUGCAAGCAUGGAUGCCUUCAUGCUUUCGAAAGCACAAGAGACGUUCUCUCUCUCUCUCUCUCUCUCUCUCUCUAUAUAUAUAUAUAUAGAGAAAGAGAGAGACUAGAGCUAUUAUAUUCUUUUAAGUAUAGAGGCAAGUUCAAGAUCAGAAUUAUUGAUUUUGAUCUAUAUAGUGAAUAUAAUUUUCUAUUAAAAAUUCAAUUGAUUUUUCUUUUUUUAUAGCAUUAGUUUAGAAACACUCCAUGUCAGCCGUUAAAAAUAUUAAUUUUGAGGCCUUUUGUUCGUACGAUAUAUAAUGUCAACAAAUUAUGAAAUUUGAUUUCUAAAAUAUUUAAAUACUCUGAAUUAUGUUUAAUAAUAUGGAUCAUUGAUUCGAAAUCUCAUUAUCGAAACUCUUUAUGAGUAUGAAGACGAACGUACUCAUAAUAGAAUAAUAGUUACAUGCACACACUCUCUCUCUCUAUAUAUAUUACG
This 1125-nucleotide long non-coding RNA is filed under the name Ananas comosus (pineapple). RNAcentral's name for it is "long non-coding RNA (ACOM_LNC003377)". The record is from RNAcentral. Lineage: Eukaryota; Viridiplantae; Streptophyta; Magnoliopsida; Poales; Bromeliaceae.